GAUGAAGAACGUAGCGAACGUGCGAAACGUAAUGUGAAUUGCAGAAUUCAGUGAAUCAUCGAAUCUUUGAACGCAUCUUGCGCUCCUUGGUAUUCCGAGGAGCAUGCCUGUUUGAGUGUCGUGAAUACUCUCAACUUCAACCCUUUUUUCGGAAAGGGAGGAAGGUUGGACUUGGGUGUUUGUUGAAGUGCGAGCUUCGACUCAUCCUAAAUGCAUUAGCGAUCUGCCUCGAUCACACACAAUGUGAUAAUUAAAACUAAAGCAUUGUUUAAUGAUCAAGUCGAGACUGCUUCUAACUGUCGCAAGACAAUAACGUGCAUACAUUUGUGCAUGUCAUUUGAUCUCAAAUCAGGUAGGACUACCCGCUGAACUUAAGCAUAUCAAUAAGCGGAGGA
RNAcentral lists this unclassified non-coding RNA (395 nucleotides) under soil metagenome. RNAcentral's name for it is "partial contains 5.8S ribosomal RNA, internal transcribed spacer 2, and large subunit ribosomal RNA". The stretch from base 1 to 121 matches the Rfam family "5.8S ribosomal RNA", at positions 35 to 154 of the family's 154-position model. The record is from RNAcentral.